GAGCUGGGUAGAGGACAGGAAGCAUCCCAUCCAGAGCAGCCUGUUUGGAUUCUGAUCUGACAUGUCUGUAGAGCCUGAGUGGACACGUGAACGGCCUUGACUUGGUGGGUAAUGGACACUCUGAGUAUUAUGGGCUGAACUGUGUGCCCCCUAAAGUCAUGUGUUGAAGCCCUAACCCCCAGAGCUCAGAACGUGACCCUGUCUGGAGACUGGGCCUUUAAGAGGUAGUUAAGGUUAAAUGAGGCCGGCAUGGGUGAGAUCUCAUCCAGUCUGUUGUCUUUAGAAGAAAAGGAAAAAGCUGGGCCCCCGAAGAGGCACCAGGGAUGUGCAGGCACAGAAAAAAGGAAGAAGAGGCCGCAGGAGAGACCCCAGAGGAAGCCAACCAACCCUGCCAGCACCUCCGUCUCAGACUGCGAGCCUCCAAAACUUGCCUAGCACAGGUCUGGCGUGUGGAAUCUGCUUGGUGAGUAUGAAGUCCUCCCCGGCUCUGCCCCACCAGCCAUCAGUGCACAACGUCCAACCGCCUAUCACAGUUCGUGACUCUGGCUUCUCAUCAGCCCGCCCAGGCGCCCUGUGACUCUAAGACAUUAAUGUCUGUGGAUCUUCAUGAAAUCUCGGGAAGCUGCAGAUUCUGCCUUUGGAACAAGUCCCCAGGUGAUGCCGAUGCUGUGGUCCUCGGACCACACUUUGAGUAGCCGGACAGUAGUGGCGAUGCGCUCUCCUACCUGGCCCUGUCGUGACGUGGCCAGCGUGGUCCUUAACAGCCCUGACAGCCUUCAGAAGAGAAACUCGACUACCCCUAGGAUGCUCCCCUCAUACACCCCAUUCUUUGAAGGACGCCCCCCUCCACCCCAUCACUGGACAUGACUAACAGGCACUCACCAGGGAGCCGAGCAGGUGGAGAGUCUGGGGUGGCUUAUCAGAGAGCAAGUGACAGACACCAGGAGGCGAAGGUCAACAGCAUGUUUCCUUCAGGUGACAGAGACGCUCCAAACACUAUGCUUCGUUCCCAAUUUGCUUCACGAACAGCGGGUGCCCCUUACACGUUGACUUAGAGAUCACGUUCGUCUAGCCCCCACCUGUCUUACAACUGAAUCCAGCCAAGGAAAUGCGUUGGCAAAGUAUUUAGUACUAAGUUCGGUUAACUCUCGGACUCUGGAGCAGGGGAGUAUUCAAUCUGUUCUCUCCCCAGCUGUUCCUUCAAUUCCUGUCCUGUGUGGCGAUUUUUUUUUUUUUGGCUCUGCUAACCAAAGCUGUGCACGCUCAGCUUCCCUGUCACCCGUUCUCUGGGGUGACCGGAGAAGCUCCCACUCUGUGUGCAGAUGGGGACAGGGGCAGGACAUGAGGUGACUGGUGACAUAUCUGCAUCUACACAUACACACAUGUAUAUAGAAACAAAAUAUUUUAAUUCUUUUUACAUGGCCACAGGCUUUCUUGUCAGGUGAACUCCAGCAGGCACCUCUCGUGGCUGCGAGGGGAUGGUGUGGUGACGUCAUCCCAGCCAGUCCAUAUAAGCUACAGUCCCCAUUCGGCACAGCCAGCCUUAUGUGGCAGAUACGUCGCUGCCUCCUCAGGUGACCGAACCGCAGCUCAAGAGCAGUUUAUCCCAGAGGUCAGAAGCCUCGAAACACCCAUCAUGCGUCUUAACCUCUAUUCUGGAAUCUUAUAAAACAUUUAUAUAUAUAUAGCACAAUAAACGUGCUUAUUACGCACUCUAACAUAGAGUACAGGAACACACACCACGGAGCACAACCCCAGCCGUCUCCACGGUGGGAAAAGUGCGAAGGUCAAACGCAUACACAAGGUGUGGCAGCAGAAAGGUAUAGAGCACCACGCUCCAUGCCUUUCCACAUGACCCGACACCGCGAACUUGUCAUCUUUGUCCCGUUGGUGGUAGGAGCAUUAACAGAAACUAUGUCACCUUCUAAGGGCAGGGGAUGCCAGACAAUCUGGUGUGGAGCGGAGAGUGAUUACGAUCCGGAGCUGAUCUAGAACUAACUGCUGAAGGUCAGCCUGGCUCACGACCCCCAGGUGGAGGUCUGCUCUCUGGCGGGCGGGACCGGCUUUGGGGGCCGAGGGCUGACGUGGUAUCUGUCAGACACACACAUUCUCACACUCACACGCUCCGGGGGAAAGUGCAUUUCCAAGAGCUGAUACGAAAACAGAUUGGCACACUCUUUUGACACAGUGAGGGUAUGUUUUCAAAGCGUUCCCCCAGCUGCUGCAAAUUCUCCUCCCCGCUCUGCUCUAGAACUUUGCACUGAGUUGGACCAGGUCUGGAGAGAAGGCUCUGGAGAGAAGGCCCUGCACCGCACUGGCGAGGUCUGUGCAUGCCCGGGAAGAACAGCAGGGAGGGGACAGCUGCAGAGUGUCGCCAGGGGAAAGGCCCUGUGCCAUCUUACGCACGGUUCUCCCCUUCCCCUGCUGAGUAAUAAACUGCUCGUGGGUCAUCCCAGCUAGCCAGACCAAGACUCCCUGAAAAGUUUCCGGUACUGCCCUACACGAAAACAUGUGGAGAGGAAAAAAGGCUGGUAUGUCGAGUUCUAUUUUUGCAUUUCCAGUAGUAAGUGCUGUUCUGCAAGCUCGGAGGAAGUGGUCCCUGGCCCUUCUUAGGGCCUGUGCUAGGAGCUCUGCACCAGGCGUCUGUAAUGGGGCAUGACCUCGUGCUCCGGCAGAUGAAGAGCAAACUCCAAGGCCACUAACACUGGGAAUUCAAAGGCAAUCAGUUCUCGUCUAUUCAGCCGGAACUUCUCUUCCAGUUUCUGCAACAGAAUGAAAGGAAACCAAGAGCAUAUCAGCUUUGCAAUCAAAGUCCUUGCCUUUCUCCACAUGUAAGCUCCCUACCCACCAGCCCAUGAGUGUUUACAGAGAAACCCAUUACAGGCAAGACUGUGGAGGAAGAAAGGGAGGCAGGCUUCAGCUGUACUUCCCGCUCUCAGUCCUGGUGAAAGAAUCGAAUGUCCCUGAGGACCCACGGUCCCACGACUUCAUUUACUCUCUCAAUAAUCUUAGUACAAGAUCAAGUACAUCCCACAACUUCAUUUACUCUUUCAAUAAUCUUAUAAGUUCAAUGUGACAUUUAUACCCACUUUACAGAGGAGAGAAAACAGGGUCAAGAGGGUAAAUAGUUGAGCCUAAGGUGAGAUGGGACAGUAAAUGGCAACGCUGAGAUACCAACUCAAUUGAGAUUUCAACUCCACCUGUUACAAGUAGCUUAUUCAGGCUUAGAGGGAAGACUAAAAAGAUCGCACAUCACCUACAACAGCAAUGACCACCUGGGAAGUUCAGGAUUGGGUGGGUGGACUCUAUGUAGUUUGGUCCUUUCACACACGAAGACCCAAGACCUGUUGAGAUCAGCUCCCUUCCAGGGUGUCAUACAGCCUGAGUGUGUGCAUGUGAACGGCCGGAGCACGCGGCUGUGUUUAGCUUGCACCCAGGGGCUCCCCGCUGGCACCAGAAUACACACCAUGAAGCACCUCAGCCAUCUCCGUGGCUGGGGGGCGGGGGGGGGGGGGGAGUGCGAAGGUCAAACACACACGGUUUGGCAGCAGAAAGCACCACGCUCCAUGCCUUUCCACACGACCCAACGCUGAGAAUUGGUCAUCUUUGUCCCACUGGUAGUAGGGGUAGAAACAAACUAUGUCAUCUAAGGGCAGAGGAUGCCAGACAAUCUGGUGUGGGGCGGAGCUCAAUCCACCCAGCUGUGGGCGCUGCUGGAGUAGAGAUGAAGGAGAACAACCAGGGGAGGGUGGGCAGGGAAGGCCUUGUUUUUGCCAGGACACAUUCUGCUCUGGCUUAGCCGGUUUGGGCUUAAAAAACAGAACAAAACAAAACUCCCCCACAGAGCCAUUGGUGGCCACUGAUUAUAACAGGGCUGGGACCCUGUGUCAAAUUAACUGCUACUGCAAAUGUGAAAACCACUGCCUGUAUAUCCUGCAUGGACACACUGUCUGGUCUAUUACUCGGCUACAACUAAAUGUACACAACCUCACACUUGUCAAGAUUAUUAGUUCAGUUAGUAUCUAUGUAAACCUGUUGAUUCUCAGAUUUAGUAACCAAAGUUCCCCUCCAUGUUCCUAAAAGUAUAUACUAUACAAGCUAGAAGAUUAUGCACCAUUUCUUAGAAGCAGCAAAGCACUGACCUAAAGAACAUUCUUUCUUCCACUGAUG
This is a long non-coding RNA of Felis catus (domestic cat), 4170 nucleotides long. RefSeq lists it as uncharacterized. The record is from RefSeq and is a predicted model, not a curated record. The transcript is spliced from 5 exons. NCBI's taxonomy places the organism in Eukaryota, Metazoa, Chordata, Mammalia, Carnivora, Felidae.